This 253-nucleotide ribosomal RNA is filed under the name uncultured bacterium. Its description in RNAcentral is "partial 16S ribosomal RNA". It matches the Rfam family "Bacterial small subunit ribosomal RNA", at positions 524 to 776 of the family's 1533-position model. The record is from RNAcentral.
UACGGGGGGGGCAAGCGUUGUUCGGAAUUACUGGGCGUAAAGGGCGCGUAGGCGGUUUGCUAAGUUGGAUGUGAAAACUCUGGGCUUAACCCAGAGCCUGCAUCCAAAACUGGCAAACUUGAGUACUGGAGGGGAAAGCGGAAUUCCUGGUGUAGCGGUGAAAUGCGUAGAUAUCUGGAGGAACACCGGUGGCGAAGGCGGCGUCCUGGACCAACACUGACACUGAUGAGCGAAAGCCAGGGGAGCAAACGGG